CAGUAGCCGCGGUAAUACGGAGGGGGCUAGCGUUGUUCGGAAUUACUGGGCGUAAAGCGCACGUAGGCGGCUUGGUAAGUUAGAGGUGAAAGCCUGGAGCUCAACUCCAGAAUUGCCUUUAAGACUGCCGAGCUAGCAGGUGAGAGAGGUAAGUGGAAUUCCGAGUGUAGAGGUGAAAUUCGUAGAUAUUCGGAAGAACACCAGUGGCGAAGGCGGCUUACUGGCUCAUACUGGACGCUGAGGUGCGAAAGCGUGGGGAGCAAACAGGAUUAGAUACCCCAGUAGUCCCUGUCUCUUAUAC
Molecule: ribosomal RNA, 301 nt
Filed under: uncultured bacterium
Lineage: Bacteria
Description: partial 16S ribosomal RNA
Rfam family: Bacterial small subunit ribosomal RNA
Source: RNAcentral